This is a non-coding RNA of Theobroma cacao (cacao), 244 nucleotides long. Lineage: Eukaryota; Viridiplantae; Streptophyta; Magnoliopsida; Malvales; Malvaceae. The record is from RefSeq and is a predicted model, not a curated record.
GAAGAAAAAAGCUUGGUUUUGGUGAUUCAAGUAAGGAACGGUUUCCUGAGUUGCUCCUCCCUGUACAUUGCUCGGUAGGUUUAAUGUGACACUAAGUGUUAUCAAUCGUGCCCAGAGUCACUUCGUUGAUAGUCAAGGUUUAAUUAUGUGUAUGUGAAUAUUUAAUGUGAACAUUAAGAAUCAUUGUUAAUCUAUUAAUGAAUAUAUUGGUGGAUGAUGCCAUUAUGAAUGUAUGAUUGGUUUU